RNAcentral lists this ribosomal RNA (389 nucleotides) under Biecheleria sp. RNAcentral describes it as "partial small subunit ribosomal RNA". It matches the Rfam family "Eukaryotic small subunit ribosomal RNA", at positions 582 to 975 of the family's 1831-position model. Lineage: Eukaryota; Dinophyceae; Suessiales; Biecheleriaceae. The record is from RNAcentral.
AUUCCAGCUCCAAUAGCGUAUAUUAAAGUUGUUGCGGUUAAAAAGCUCGUAGUUGGAUUUCUGCCGAGGAUGACCGGUCCGCCCUGUGGGUGUGCAUCUGGCUCAGCCUUGGCAUCUUCCUGAAGAACGUAGCUGCACUUGACUGUGUGGUGCGGUAUUUAGGACAUUUACUUUGAGGAAAUUAGAGUGUUUCAAGCAAGCGCACGCUUUGAAUACAUUAGCAUGGAAUAAUAAGAUAGGACCUCGGUUCUAUUUUGUUGGUUUCUAGAGCUGAGGUAAUGAUUGAUAGGGAUAGUUGGGGGCAUUCGUAUUUAACUGUCAGAGGUGAAAUUCUUGGAUUCGCUCAAGACUAACUUAUGCGAAAGCAUUCACCAAGGACGUCUUCAUUA